UUUAUAUUCCUUAAAUUUCAUUUCCAAUCAUAAUUAAUAUUUUCAAAGUGUAUGAUUUUUAAAUGAUAAAUAAAUAAAUUAGAAUCUAAUUCAAAAUUCAUUUCCAUAAAUCAUUAUGGACCCCUCUACGGGUAGUCCUCUCUUCCAUUUUGCUCCACAGCUUUUCUAUUUAUUUCAUCUAUCCAUUUUUCUAUCUAAAAGGGUAUCUAUAAAGAAGAUAAAUUAGUGUUUAUUUAUUUAUUCAUUUGUGUAAGUGCAAUUGUUGGUACUUUUUAGAUGGCAUGAAACUACUAUUGCAACCUUUUUAAGUGAUUCAGAGGUCAAACACACAAAAAUAAUAUUACCUAUGUAAAGAAACUUGCAUGUUUCUUCGAUAUGUAAUAGAUGACGCCAUCAGCCAUCUUGGUUGGAAGAAGUUUGACAAGUGAAAAGUCAUCCUUAUGAAUAAAUUGUUUGAUCGUGAAAUUGUAAAAAGGAAUUGAUAAUUUUAUAAUAGACUUUUAAUGUUUGUUCCUUGUUUUCAGCCGUCAACGGUAGUCAUCAAGAACGAGGAAGUAAAUGACCAAUUAUUAUUGAAAUGAUAAGAGAAAUUAAAACACAACCACAAAUCUAUUUUGAAUGCAGUUUGGACAACUAUGUAUUAUUGGUUAAAGAUAAUUGUGUACUUCAUAAUAAUUUAUUUGAAUCUAAUAAUAUUGUUAUAUUAAAAUGAUUAAUUAAA
This is a long non-coding RNA of Pieris napi, 721 nucleotides long. RefSeq lists it as uncharacterized. Lineage: Eukaryota; Metazoa; Arthropoda; Insecta; Lepidoptera; Pieridae. The record is from RefSeq and is a predicted model, not a curated record. The transcript has 2 exons.